Molecule: long non-coding RNA, 590 nt
Filed under: Homo sapiens (human)
Lineage: Eukaryota; Metazoa; Chordata; Mammalia; Primates; Hominidae
Description: HSALNT0179075
Source: RNAcentral
CUGACUCCAGCCCUUGGACUCAGGACAUCGCAGACCUUCCCUUGCGUGCGUGACUCAUUCGCACAUCCAUUUCUGUUUAUGCCUGGGGUGGGGAGAAAAAUCCCAAACCAGGCCCCCAGCAGACUGAAUGGUGCCCACCAACAUUGGUGGUGGUUCUUCCACACCUGGUCCACUGAGACAUGCUUAUCUCCUCUGGAAACAGUCUUGCAGACACACCCCCAAAUAAUGCUUUACUAGGUUUCUAGGUAUUUCUUAAUCUAAUCAAGUUGACACCUAAAAUUAACCACCACAGUACCCUUGCCUUUUUUGCCUUUUAUGAUAUUGAAAUUUUUGAAGAUUCCAAGUUUGUUGUCUGUGAAUUGGAUUUGUCUGAUUGUUUUCUCAUUAUUAGAUUCAAGUUAAACACUUGUGGUGAGAAUUUUUUGCAAUGUUCUAUCCCUCCCCGUGCAUCAUAGGUGACACCUAAUGUCAGUUUGUAACAUCACUGGUGACAUGAGGUUUGAUCAUUUGGUUGAGGUGGUAUUGCCAGAUCUCUCCAUUGAAAGGGCACCCUUUUCCCUUUGUAAUUAAUAAAAUUAUCUGUGAGGUGA